Molecule: RNase MRP RNA, 317 nt
Rfam family: RNase MRP
About the family: RNase MRP is an enzymatically active ribonucleoprotein with two distinct roles in eukaryotes. In mitochondria it plays a direct role in the initiation of mitochondrial DNA replication.
CAUGGUCAAAGAGUCGUCACUAAUCGAAGCUUGCACAAUGGGCAUGUCCUAUCUUUUUUAAGCUUUGGGUCGAAAGUCUCCCACCUGUCCGUAUGCGGAAAACGCAAUGAGAUUUAAAAAUAUUUUUAAAUUGUUUAAAUCCACUCAUUAAGAGUGCAUUCGUGCACUCUUUCUGUCCCGCGGGAUCCUGGUGGUCUCGUGGUGACUUCGGUACUGGAACUGUAUUUCUUGAGUUCUAAACCAUAGUUAUGACGAUUGCUGCGUGUUUGGCCUUGUCCAGCGCAGUAACCCAAUGGAGCUUACUAUUCUUGGCUCAU